RNAcentral lists this ribosomal RNA (253 nucleotides) under uncultured bacterium. RNAcentral's name for it is "partial 16S ribosomal RNA". It matches the Rfam family "Bacterial small subunit ribosomal RNA", at positions 524 to 776 of the family's 1533-position model. The record is from RNAcentral.
UACGUAGGGGGCAAGCGUUGUCCGGAUUUAUUGGGCGUAAAGAGCGUGUAGGCGGCCAUGUAGGUCCGUUGUGAAAACUCGAGGCUCAACCUCGAGACGCCGAUGGAAACCAUGUGGCUAGAGUCCGGAAGAGGAGAGUGGAAUUCCUGGUGUAGCGGUGAAAUGCGCAGAUAUCAGGAAGGACACCCGUGGCUAAGGCGGCUCUCUAGUACGGUACUGACGCUGAGACGCGAAAGCGUGGGGAGCGAACAGG